This 488-nucleotide ribosomal RNA is filed under the name uncultured bacterium. Its description in RNAcentral is "bacterial SSU rRNA". It matches the Rfam family "Bacterial small subunit ribosomal RNA", at positions 28 to 517 of the family's 1533-position model. The record is from RNAcentral.
GAUGAACGCUAGCGGCAGGCUUAACACAUGCAAGUCGAGGGGUAUUGGUUUUCGGACCAAGAGACCGGCGCACGGGUGCGUAACGCGUAUGCAAUCUACCUUUUGCAGAGGGAUAGCCCCAGAGAAAUUUGGAUUAAUACCUCAUAGUAUAGUACUUUGGCAUCAAGGAACUAUUAAAGUCACAACGGCAAAGAUGAGCAUGCGUCCCAUUAGCUAGUUGGUAAGGUAACGGCUUACCAAGGCUACGAUGGGUAGGGGUCCUGAGAGGGAGAUCCCCCANACUGGUACUGAGACACGGACCAGACUCCUACGGGAGGCAGCAGUGAGGAAUAUUGGACAAUGGGCGCAAGCCUGAUCCAGCCAUGCCGCGUGCAGGAUGACGGUCCUAUGGAUUGUAAACUGCUUUUAUACAGGAAGAAACACUCCGACGUGUCGGAGCUUGACGGUACUGUAAGAAUAAGGAUCGGCUAACUCCGUGCCAGCAGCCG